This 468-nucleotide ribosomal RNA is filed under the name uncultured bacterium. RNAcentral describes it as "partial 16S ribosomal RNA". It matches the Rfam family "Bacterial small subunit ribosomal RNA", at positions 28 to 507 of the family's 1533-position model. The record is from RNAcentral.
GACGGACGCUGGCGGCGUGCUUAACACAUGCAAGUCGAACGGAAAGGCCCUGCUUUUGUGGGGUGCUCGAGUGGCGAACGGGUGAGUAACACGUGAGUAACCUGCCCUUGACUUUGGGAUAACUUCAGGAAACUGGGGCUAAUACCGGAUAGGAGCUCCUGCUGCAUGGUGGGGGUUGGAAAGUUUCGGCGGUUGGGGAUGGACUCGCGGCUUAUCAGCUUGUUGGUGGGGUAGUGGCUUACCAAGGCUUUGACGGGUAGCCGGCCUGAGAGGGUGACCGGCCACAUUGGGACUGAGAUACGGCCCAGACUCCUACGGGAGGCAGCAGUGGGGAAUAUUGCACAAUGGGCGGAAGCCUGAUGCAGCAACGCCGCGUGCGGGAUGACGGCCUUCGGGUUGUAAACCGCUUUCGCCUGUGACGAAGCGUGAGUGACGGUAAUGGGUAAAGAAGCACCGGCUAACAACGUG